RNAcentral lists this ribosomal RNA (474 nucleotides) under uncultured Glomus. RNAcentral describes it as "SSU rRNA". It matches the Rfam family "Eukaryotic small subunit ribosomal RNA", at positions 569 to 1048 of the family's 1831-position model. Lineage: Eukaryota; Fungi; Glomeromycota; Glomeromycetes; Glomerales; Glomeraceae. The record is from RNAcentral.
AGCAGCCGCGGUAAUUCCAGCUCCAAUAGCGUAUAUUAAAGUUGUUGCAGUUAAAAAGCUCGUAGUUGAAUUUCGGGGUUAGUAGGUUGGUCAUGCCUCUGGUAUGUACUGGUCUCACUGAUUCCUCCUUCCUGAUGAACCUUAAUGCCAUUAAUUUGGUGUUUUGGGGAAUUUGGACUGUUACUUUGAAAAAUUAGAGUGUUUAAAGCAAGCUAACGCUUGAAUACAUUAGCAUGGAAUAAUGAAAUAGGACGUUCGAUCCUAUUUUGUUGGUUUCUAGGAUUGACGUAAUGAUUAAUAGGGAUAGUUGGGGGCAUUAGUAUUCAAUUGUCAGAGGUGAAAUUCUUGGAUUUAUUGAAGACUAACUACUGCGAAAGCAUUUGCCAAGGAUGUUUUCAUUAAUCAAGAACGAAAGUUAGGGGAUCGAAGACGAUCAGAUACCGUCGUAGUCUUAACCAUAAACUAUGCCGACUA